This 253-nucleotide ribosomal RNA is filed under the name uncultured bacterium. RNAcentral's name for it is "partial 16S ribosomal RNA". It matches the Rfam family "Archaeal small subunit ribosomal RNA", at positions 474 to 727 of the family's 1478-position model. The record is from RNAcentral.
UACCAGCACCCCGAGUGGUCGGGACGUUUAUUGGGCCUAAAACAUCCGUAGCCGGUUCUACAAGUCUUCCGUUAAAUCCAACUGCUUAACAGGUGGGCUGCGGAAGAUACUAUAGAGCUAGGAGGCGGGAGAGGCAAGCGGUACUCGAUGGGUAGGGGUAAAAUCCGUUGAUCCAUUGAAGACCACCAGUGGCGAAGGCGGCUUGCCAGAACGCGCUCGACGGUGAGGGAUGAAAGCUGGGGGAGCAAACCGG